RNAcentral lists this small RNA (755 nucleotides) under Pongo abelii (Sumatran orangutan). RNAcentral's name for it is "retained intron". The record is from RNAcentral. Lineage: Eukaryota; Metazoa; Chordata; Mammalia; Primates; Hominidae.
GGAGCCCCAGGUUUUCCUGGCCUCCCAGGCAGAAAAGGGGUCAUGGGAGAUGCUGGGCCUCGAGGGCCCACAGGCAUAGAAGGAUUCCCAGGGCCACCAGGUCUGCCCGGUGCAAUGAUCCCUGGCCAGAAAGGAAAUCAUGGUCCACCAGGCUCAAGAGGAAGCCCAGGUGAGCCUGGUCCCCCUGGACCUCCAGGGAGUCACGUAAUAGGCAUAAAAGGAGACAAAGGGUCUAUGGGCCACCCUGGCCCGAAAGGUCCACCUGGAACUGUAGGAGACAUGGGACCACCAGGUCAUCUGGGAGCACCAGGUACUCCAGGUCUUCCAGGACUUAGAGGUGAUCCUGGAUUCCAGGGGUUUCCAGGCGUGACAGGAGAAAAGGGUAAUCCUGGAUUUCUAGGAUCCAUUGGACCUCCAGGACCAAUUGGGCCAAAAGGACCACCUGGUAUACGUGGAGACCCUGGCACACUUAAGAUUAUCUCCCUUCCAGGAAGCCCAGGGCCACCUGGCACACCUGGAGAACCAGGGAUGCAGGGAGAACCUGGGCCACCAGGGCCACCUGGAAACCUAGGUGUGGGACUGGCAGCAUUGACUUGGAUCACUAGGAAGUGGUUGAACCAAAAUACCUGUAAACUACUUUGGAAACAGCUGAUACAACUUCACAGAAAAUGUUGAACAUGAUAGUGGUUUUCACAAUCAGUCUUAGGAUUGAGCUCAUUUUACCCUUGACCAGCAAAUAAAAGACCUUGGAAUCU